Molecule: ribosomal RNA, 447 nt
Filed under: uncultured bacterium
Lineage: Bacteria
Description: bacterial SSU rRNA
Rfam family: Bacterial small subunit ribosomal RNA
Source: RNAcentral
UCGGGAAUUUUGGGCAAUGGGGGAAACCCUGACCCAGCAACGCCGCGUGAAGGAUGAAGUAUUUCGGUAUGUAAACUUCGAAAGAAUAGGAAGAAUAAAUGACGGUACUAUUUAUAAGGUCCGGCUAACUACGUGCCAGCAGCCGCGGUAAUACGUAGGGACCAAGCGUUGUUCGGAUUUACUGGGCGUAAAGGGCGCGUAGGCGGCAUGACAAGUCACUUGUGAAAUCUCUGGGCUUAACCCAGAACGGCCAAGUGAUACUGUCGCGCUAGAGUGCAGAAGGGGCAAUCGGAAUUCUUGGUGUAGCGGUGAAAUGCGUAGAUAUUAGGAAGAACACCAGUGGCGAAGGCGGCUCACUGGCCCGAUACUGACGCUGAGGUGCGAAAGCGUGGGGAGCAAACAGGAUUAGAUACCCCCGUAGUCCCUGAGCGGGCUGGCAAGGCGCAU